GCCCUCCCCGCUCAGGCUGCGUGGAAAAGCGCUACCGCUUUCAGGCAGUAGCGCGGGGAACGGGCGAGAUGCCAGAAGCCACGCUGCGGCCGCCAGAGAGGCCACAGGGGACGGCUCAGCCCGGCUGCCUGUAUCGCUUGGGGGUACCCGCGCAGCGUCCCCUGGCCGUCCCGAGAGGCUCCACCGCCGUUGGAGCGGCGCGAAUCGCCUUGCCCUCGCCGGGGCCGGAAGCGGAGCCGCGCCGGCGCGGGGACAGCCCACCGCCGCGGGGAGGGGUGCAGCCACCGCCCCCCGCCCGAUCCGGCGCCCCCAGAGGCGGGCGGCCAUCGCCCGCCAGCCCGCAGCUUGUCGCGCAGGUCUAGUCCGCCGCCAUGCCGGGGCCUGUACCUGCGCUGGAAGUCCCGCUCGAAGGGGGCCAGGUAGGGGUCCCGCUCUAGCAGCUCCGGUAGCUUAGGCGCCUGCGGGCCUUGCGUGCCAGAGGCGGCCAUCUUGCCACCACGGCUCGGUAGCGCCGGGCACGGCCGCUAUAUACCUCCAGGCGGGGGAGGGGGGGGUCUCGGCGCGGGGCGGGCGGGCGGGCAAGGAGCCCACUGCCUCUCACCGCCCGGCGCCGCCCACCGGCGGGGGCAGCCCCGGGACCGAGAGCCGCCCGCCUCCGCCGCCACUCCCCGCCCGCCGUGUGCCUCGCGGCCUUGGGCGGGGUGGGAGGCCGGGGCUGCGGGUGGUCCUGGCCGCGACGCUCGGGCUCCCUGGAAGGGGCACGGGGUGCGAGCGCUGCGAUAAAUUCCUCCGCCGCUCGGCGGGGCGCUGGGCAGCUCGCAGUCGAGCGCAGCGACGCGACUCUGAUGGCAUCCGUGAGCUCUCAUAAAACGCUGCGUGUGUCUGGCAGAAUGCUGCUUCGCGGGGGCCAGAGGAGACCUGAACAAAGUAGAGUGAGUUCAGUGGAUCCUAAAGCAGCUGUAAAUGCUGAAUAGCACAGAUAGAUUAUGAGGGACAGGGUAUCAAUCAGUGUGUUUCAUUUUUGGAUAGGCCUCCAGGUAUCCAGGGUAACUCUUUACCAGCCUGAUCGUGGCUGUUGUCCAGCACUUUUUUUAAGAUACAUACUGACAAUGUGUAUUUACAGGCCUCUUUUUGGAUACAUUUUAGCCACAGGUUAUAAACUUUCCAGCACUAGGGUACUUGGCAUUGCUUCCACAACCAUCUCCCAAGAUUUCUGUCCGUGGUUUGUAACUCAUCUCCCCUGCCUUGGCUUACUGUGGAUUUAGAGUGCCUUCCUAUUCUGCUGUCAGGUGACAGCCUGUAACAAACUACAGCAGUUCAUUUAUAGCUUCUCCAAAAAUUGGCUGCAGUGACAGUUUUCAAAAUUAUUUGUUUCAUCAAAUGGUAUGCAUUUAACUACGCUGUAUUUCUUUCCUUGCAGCAGUUUAUAACUACACACAAAAAAAUCCAAGUACUUUUGUCUUACAGAGAACUAAAAUUGUUCUCUGUCCUAAGAAUCAGUGGCUCAGUAUCUGGAUGGAGAUCAGUAGUAAGCGGUGUCCCUCAGGGAUCAGAACUGGGAUGAGUGCUGUUUAAUAUCUUCAUCCAUUACAUGAACAGUAGGAUCAAGUGCACCCUCAGCAAGAUUGUGGAAGAUGCCAAGCUGUGUGGUACAGUCAGCACAUCUGAGGGAUAGAAUGCCAUCCAGAGGGACCUAGACAGCUGUAAGCAGUGGACCCAGGUCAACCUCAUGAGGUUCGAUGAAGCCAUGUGCAAGGUCUUGCACCUGGGUCAAGGCAACCUCCUCUAUCAGUACAAGAUGGCAGUGAAGGAAUGGAGGACAGCCCUGCAGAAAAGGACUUGGGGGUACUGAUGGAUGGGAAGCUGGACAUGAGCCAGCACUGGGCCCUCACAGCCCAGAAAGCCAACUGUAUCCUGAGGUGCAUCAAAAGAAGUGUGAUCAGCUGGUCAAGGGAGGUGAUCCUGCCCCCUCUACUCUACACUGCUGAGAUCUUACCUGGAAUAGCAUGUCCAGGUGUGGACACGCUCCUCAGUACAAGAGAGAUGUGGACCUGUUGGAGGGUCCAGAGAAGGGCCACAGAAAUGAUCCAAAGAAUGGAACACCUCCCCGUGAGGACAAGCUGAGAGAGCUGGGGCUGUUCAGCCUGGAGAAGAGAUGCCUCUGGGGAGACCUGAGAACAGCCUUUCAGUAUCUAAAGGGGGGCUGUGAGAAGUAAGGGGACAGACCCUUUAGCAGUGCCUUAGCAGGGUCUGUUGUGAUAGGACAAGUGGAAAUUAUUUCAAACUAAAAGAGGGGAGACUUAGACUGGAUAUAAGAAAGAAGGUUUUUUACAAUAAGGCACUGAAACUGGUUGCACAAAGAGGUAGUGGCAGCCCUGUCUCUGGGGACAUGCAGGGUUUAGACUGGACAGAGCUCUGAGCAACCUGAUCUAGUCGGUGUCCCUGUUCACUACAGGGAGUUGGACUAGAUAACCUUUAAAGGCCCCUUAAACGAUUCUAGGAUUCUGAGAAAUUGUUACAUAACUUGCCUCGGUGUCUACCAUUUCUUCAGUCUCAGUCAGGACUGAAAACCUGUUAUAUGCCUCAGAACUGUCUGUGUAGCAGUGAUUCCCUUGUCUGUGUUAAACUGAAGUUUAAUAACUCUAUCUUAUUUCUGACAUCAUGCUAUGCACAUUAUGUUUUCUUUUGCAAACUGUCUCUGACAUUCCCAUAGUUAUCUGGUUGGGCAAGCAAAGAGGGGAGCAAAUCCAGCUGUUAAUCAAGAGCCAGGAACUUGUUUUUCACAAUAGCUAGCGUUUUACCUGUACUGCUGUUUGAGGCUUCCAGCUGUAAUGGAGAGGUUGCCUGCUGCUCACGAGGAAGGAGGGGGGAAAUCCCUGCAGUCUUUGAAUAUACUACCAUAGGAAACAGGAGCUUCAUUUUAAGCACAGUCUGUUUGGUUUUCUUAAUUAUCAGAAAGCUCAACAGGUUCAGAGUGCCAUUAUUAGCUAUUUGGCAUAGACACAAGAGAGAGAUUUAUAAAUUGGCAUUAGCAAUUCAUGUAAACAGUAGGAAUAUUGCUGUGACUUCGAGCUCCCUGGAGACAGAGACCCUUUCUUAACCUUUGUUUGUGAGAUUGUAAGCAGAAAUAACACAGUACCCAGACUCGCAUCCAAGCAUCCUUGAAUGUCAGGAAGUUAAAUUCUUCAAGUAGCCCCAAGUGCUAUAUUUAAUACCUUGUGAAUUGGGAAAUUGAUAACCAUUCUAUUUGUAUCCAUUCAUGUUCAAGUUUACAACUGAGGUGUGAUUUUAUCUGCCUGCUCAAAGACACAAAGGCAUAUAUUACUGUGAUCUAUUCCAGUGUGAUCUGGCUGAGACUCUAAGGCUGAAUUUGGCUCUGAGGACAUUGCCAUUUAGUCUUCUACCUAGAGGCAAAAAAAGGGCACUCGAAACAAUAAAUGUUGUUGCAGUAGAUGAAUGCUUCUUUGUGUAUUUGUCUGACAUCCACCCAAAGAUAGCAGCUGCCAGUAGAGAUAGGAAGAAGGGGUGGAUGGUAAUAACUGCUCUUUUGGGGGACAGUAAUGGAUCUUAAAGGACUGGCAUCUGAGGCAUGUGUCUGGCACCCAGCUACCACCAAGAACAGAGUAUAUCAAACCACUCUAAAUUUGUCUUUCAAAGGAUGUUUAUUAUUAAGUUGUGUAUACUUUAAAAUGUUGCAUAGCAGUGCUAUGCAAUAACUAGUUACAAUUCUUAUAAUAGUUUCUGUACGAAGUUCAAAAAGAAAUCCAAGUUUUGUAUUGAAGAACAUUCAAGAACUGACUACUCACGUAAUGCACUACAGCAAUUUUCAUUUUCUCAUAUAUUGCUCUUACUUGCAAAAGUAGACAGAGAUGCUAAACUGUAGGAACAGGGUUCUUUCUCUGAAGCACUGGUUCAAAUUCUUCCCACCAUCCUGGCUCUCAGAUUGGCCAGAGACCACCUCAUGGUGUUAGCUGGAGCCUGCAGGGAGACAGACAGGACAGUUGUCAAGGGUACUGUGUAACUAGUUUUCCUUCCACUAUAGGCAUAAAAGGGGCAUUGCAAACAUACAGUACAUUUCUUAAAUAUCACUAAUCUACAUAGUCUUUACAGGUAGGUCAGACAUUGGCAGUUGAGAUUAUACAAGUUUUUUAUUCCUGUCUUUGAGCUUUCCAAGGCUCUGCUGAGAUGCAGAAGGAGGAAAAAUGGGCAGUGUUGCACAGUUGCUGAAUCUCAGCAGCAUGUCAGUUCUUUAAUUAAAACAUUAAAAAGUUUUGCAGUUUUUGUAAGGAUUCAACUAUUAAUUAAUUACUUAGGAAAAAUAAAGGAUAUAACAUUGAAAAUUACAGCAAACAUUCCAAGAAUCCAUUAGUCUAUCCCUUAAUUAGUUUAUGGUUUGGGGGGUUUGUUUUUGUUGGCUUUUUCUCUGUCAGUUUGUUUUAGGAAAUUUAUUAUUCAUUGAGAUUGUCUUUUUAGGUCUUACCAUUGCCCUCGUAUGGUAACAGGAUCUUUAAAUAGAAACACAUCUUUAAAGAUCAAAAGUAAUCUGAAAUCUAAACUACUAAAAAGCCACUUUCAGAGUUGUCAAAUUCCACUAAAUGCUUUUGAUAGGAAUGCUAUUUGCACUUAGCAUACAGAACCAAAAUCACACUGUAGCAGCAUGAAAGCACUAGAUAAUGGCUGCUUUUUGCUUUCAUGUUACUGAAGUAUUACUAUGAUCUGGUGUCCCCAUGGAACACCUCCCUUGUAAGGACAGACUGAAAAAGCUGGGACUGUUCAGCCUGGAGAAGAGAAGCCUCUGGGGAGACUUGAUAGCAGCCUUUCAGUGUCUGAAGGGGGGCUGUAAGAAAGAAAAGGACAGACUCUUUAGCAAGGUCUGUGGUGACAGGACAAGGGAAAAUGGUUUAAAACUAAAAGAGUGGAGAUUUAAAUUGGACAUAAGGAAUUUUUUUGCAAUAAGGGUGGUGAGGCUCUGGAACAGGUUACUCAAAGAUGUGGUGGAGUCCCCAUCUUAGGAGACAUUCAAGGACCUAUAAAGGUCCUUUCCAACUUAAAAGAUUUUAUGAUUCAUUACUACUUAGUAAGAAUAUUUUACUUCAUGUUAUUACAUCACUUCAAUAAUACUCCAUAUCUUUUUGUUUGUUUUGCUUUGGUUUAAUCUCUUCUUUGUAACAAACAGAUAAAUAUUUAUAAUUUUGAGUUUUCUGAGUUAAUGUUAUCCUACUUCAGCUGGAAUUAUGGAUUAAUGUUUCUCAGUUUCCAAUGCCCUUCGUUUUUUGGUGUCUCUUUGAGUUUUUUGUUAAUCUCUCAAAAUUCUCCCUGGAUGUUGGAUUCAGUCUCCUAAUUCCACUGAAGAAACAUUUGAUAUCUGAUUUUAGUUUAACUAACCACUCUGUGCAGAUAUUUCUCCCAUUCUGCAUGAUCAGCUUCUACAGCAGGGCUCUCAUAUAAGUUCUGGUUUCCACUGCUUUCAUAUUUCAACUUCUUUGUUAGCACUUCAUUCUGUUUGUGUAUGCUUAAUCAGAAUAACCUUUUAAAUUGUACAGAUUUCAGCUUGUGCCAGUAUUCAGUCUUUCUGCAUUAUGUUCUCUUCUCAGGCAACAUCCAGGCUUGUCAUUUUCCAAUUGUCCAUUCAUUCCAUCAGGACAGUAGGCCUUCCCCAAUGAUCAAAUUGUAAUUUGAAGUCUGUAAAGGUGAAGUGUAAGCCUUUUUGGCUGCAGCUGAGAGGUAUGAAUAGCCUUUUUCCUUAUGUCAGUCUUCAGUUAGCAAUCCAGUAGAGGCCUUGUUGGAGAUGCUCUUCCAGUAUAUUGAAUCUUUUCCAGUUUCCUCACUAUAUGUUUGUGCUAAGUUCAGCUGCUUUCUUACUACACUAUUUCUUACCACUGCAUAUAUGCUUUGCUGCUGCAUCUUACCUUGUCAUAUCCCUUUUGCCAUGUUUCCCUAAGAAGAAUGUUUGAGUGUAAAUACUGAUAAAAAUAACAGUGUUACAGCUUCUGAGUCAUCUGCUCACUUUGGUAUUUUUGAUUUUGCUGUUUAUUAUCUAUGAUGGCUGACAUCGCUUCUCCCCUCAUAUAUGCAGCUAGCUCAUUCCAUGUUGUUCUGGUAUCUGCAGGCCCUAAAACUGUCUGCACUCCAGGCCAUCCCUAUAGCUAUUUAAAUACAUCUGUGUAUUUAAACAUUCAAGGCUUGUUAAUUUCUACUGUGCUGCCAUGCACAAAACACUAAACAGAGCCUGACAACUUUUUCUGCUUCUAAUAUGUCUCUGCUUUCUUUUGGCUUAUGACCAUCAUAGUGGUAUAAUCAUUCAAAUUCUGGUCUUCCUUCUUAAAUCCAGACAGUGUUAUGCAUCCACUCAUAAUAAUCAGUUUCUAGAUCUUUUGAAAGAAUCUAGAAAGAAUUUUGAAAGAAUUUGAAAGAGCCCAAAGAUUUAGUCCCUGCUUAAUACCAUUUCCUCACCUCAUCUAUUUCUUCCAAAAAAAAUAAAAAUGGAUAGAUUUCCUAGGAGCAGAGUGGGAAUGUCCAGCAGGGGACUGGGUUUGUUUUUGUCCUACCUAAGAAUCACAGAAUUAUAGAAUCAUUAAGAUUGGAAAAGGAAACUAAGAUCAUCUAGUCCAACAGUCAACCCAACACCACCGUGCCUUCUGAACCAUGUCCUCAGAGCCUUGGUUCCCCUGUCAAUGGUCUUGUCCUUCACUAAUCAGCUAUAAGAGAAACAAAGUCUCUGUUCAGCUGAUUCACAGGAAGGGAGCAGACACAAAGAUCUCUGAUCACCUAGGGCUAUGAUCAGAGGCUUUUAAAGCAAUCUUUGGGCCUCCAUCCAGUGUCCACCUAGUGUCAGUUUGCCAGACUGCCACAUUUUCUUUCUCAGAUUUUCAGCAGCUGGCAUCCACCACAAAGACUGCUGCCUAUCUACAAGAGAUUAGUACACUGUAAAUGAGAAAUGCUUCAAAAAGUCUUCCAUGCCUUUGUCCUCCUCUAUUAAAACUUAGUCUCACAGACCACAUUGAGAUCAUCUACUGUUAUUUUUCUGUUAGUCUUUGUCUGGCUCUUUAACCUUUGCUGUUAAAGCAUUGGUUUAUGCAAAUAGAGAGAUUUCUUCAUUGAUAAGAUUGUUAUCCAAAUUAUUAGUAAUCUUUGUUUUUUCCCUCUUUCCCUGUUUCAGCUGCACAUUUAAAAUACUGAAAUGCUCAUACAGUUCACAAAUUCUCUAUUGCUUCUUGGCCUGUGCAAUCCUUCAGCUGUCUCCUCAGUAACUCUUAUGUUGUCUUCUGUUUCAACACAUGCACAAGAAAAACUCACAAAGGAUUCCAUCCUGGGAGCUGAGUCAUUCUCUAAAUCAAGAACUGUCAUUCUCUGUACAUAAAAUAUUCCUCUGCAGAGCUUAAGGGAAUUUAUAUCUGCAUAGAAGAAAAUUGAGCCUCAUGCCAAUAGAUGAGAUAGACUUUAUGGCUUCUCCAUGAUCACACCACAUAUUGGUAAAAGCAUGGAACUGUGAAAUAUGAGAUGCAAAUGUCAAAAUAUUUCUUUGUUUUUGUAAGGAGUUGCACAAGGAGUCAUUCCUUUUCUGUACAACAAAGUAUGGGUAUUCAUAACUGUAAAAAAAGCCACGCUACCAAGAAUAGAAAAAAUAAAUGCCAUUUGUUGUUUGUUGUUUUGUUUUUCUAAUUUCCUUUCUGUAGAAUGUAGCAUCAAUAUUCUCAAAAAAAAAAAAAAAAAAAAAAAAACCAAAAAACACUAGAAUGACUUUUAGGAGACCAAGGAGAAAAUUCAAUCCCUCUUUCCCCCAGUGUUGCUUGAUUUGCCCCAUCUCCUGGACCAACUUUCAAAUAGGUGACACUAUAGGAAAGCACUUUAAGGAAUGGAGAACCAGUACAGCAGUGGGUAGGACAUUGUUCUCAGCUGCGAAGUGCAGUGGUCUUCAACAAUGAUCACUUUGGAAUCAGUAUUUAAUUUAUGAAAUACACACAACUCCAUAGAAACGAUGCCACAGAUUUCAAACAGCAUUGGAUCAAACUUGUGAGAUAACUGUAUUUUAACCUUGAACUGACCCCGCUCCUGCUCACUGUAUGAUCUGCUUUGUCUUAACCCUAUCGUCUUUAGUACUUUUGAAAGUUCAUCUGUGUCAACAAGGCAAAAGCAAAACUCUGAGAACAGCUUUAGUUCUUUUUCUUUCCAUGUCUUACUACAAAAAAUAAAAAUAAAAAAAAAAAUAAAUUCCCUGUGCCUGUGCUAUUUCUCUUGUUAUUACAAUUUACUUGAAGAUCAGUGCAUAUCUGCAUAAGACUCUUAAAUUGCUAAACAAACAAACAAAAAUUGAAAAAAACAUAGAAAUAGAAAUCUUCUAUAGUGCUUUUAUCAAAGCAUUUCCACAGAAAUGAUGCAUAUCUAGCUCCUAUGGUUCUUAACAACUUUAGCUCUUUAUAACCUUAGCUCUUUCAGGAUGUGAAAACAGUAGUCAUACUGCAGCAUAUGCUAGAGAGCACCCCAAUCUGUCCUAGGAUGCCAAAAAGGGGGAGAAAAGGAAUCCCCAACUAAGAAAACUUAUACAUUUUACUGAAUGGGAAGCUUAUUGUAGAGUUUUUGCUAAGCCAUUACUAUGGCUCUCUCACUUUGAAAUAGAACAUAAAAGGGUUUCAGCAUCAUGAAAAUCAAAAUACAGCCACCUGUUUUUGACAAUUCUCCCCCACACACAGAAAGUACAUUUAUUCUUUAUAUGCGUAUUUGUUUUGCAUGCUGUGGCAUUCUCUUACCAGACUUCUCAGUUACAGAAACAUGUCAGUUAAAAAUUAUUUUUACUACUCGCAAAUGCAUAUUUCAACUGGUACAUGGAACCAUUAAAAGUUUUGCUACACAGCAGCACCUGCAGAACUAAAUAAUUUUCUGCUCCUACUGUGAAGAGAUACCUCUAUUAUUGUCAGUGUGGUAUGGUAAACAUUGUAAUUCUGAACAUGCCCAUGGUACUGUGUGGCUGAUACUGUUGGAAUGCUCCAUGCCACAGAUCCUAUGUAUCAGCCAUCAGUCACUUCUAAUGUCAAUCUGUUGCUUUCUCCUGGAAAUAACUGAUAUAAUCUCACUGUAGUUUCUAUUAUAAGUCCAAUUUGUCCAUGCUCAUUAUGCAUAUAAACUCCUUUGCAUCAGAAUGAGAAUAUGAUGAAGACAGACAUAUUGAUACAUACUUAUCAAUACAUACACCCAAAUACAUGUUGUCUCUAUAAAAGCAAUAAUACAAAUGUAUUAUAUUCAGCUUUAAACAGAACUUUGGUAAUGUAGUUGUAGAUAUAUUGCAUAUUGCUUUUGGCACUACUAAAAAUAAGUCAUUUGGAUUAACCAUUUUCAAGAAGUACAUUUUAUAACUGGAACAUAUUUAUUCAAGUUCUCUUUUGGAUUAAUGCAAUUUGUCUGAGAGCAUGCACUAAUUUCUGUUCUCAGCAUAGCCUUGGGAGGUUAAAAAUGUUAAAUAUGAUUCUUUGCAGGUUUUAAUAUAUCAUCUUGCCUUAUGAAGAGUUGAUUAUCACCACCCAGUGGUGCUUACAUACUGAUAGAAUUCAUGAUUAUAUGUAUCCAAAGUAGUACCAAGAGUACCAUACAAAAGAACUGACUAUAUUCUAUGUAAGUAGCUACUUAAUUGUAGUCAGUAUCAUAAAAUAUUGACGAGUUCUCAUUCUCUUAAAAAUUGGAGCUUUUUGGUCAAGCAAACUGCUUUUCCUUGGACAAAAUUUAUUGCAGUAAGUUGCUGAACUGAAAGUUUAAUUUAAGUUGUAAAAUUGAAAAGCUCUUGUAAUUGAAAAUGAAAAAUAUGGAGUAGUCUGAAUGCACGAAUGAGGAGUAAAUUACAGAUAAAAGGACUGACUAGAGAGGAACCCAUACGGAUAGUUGGAUGUUUACAAAUUACGUUUUAAUGUAAGAUGUAAUUAUAACUUUAUUUUUCAUCUUGAUUCGUUUUCAUUAUUUUCAUGCAAACACAGUGGCAGUUACACAGGAAAGCCAAAUACAGUCUGUAGAAAUUACUUCGGCCAAGUUUAAACAAAGUAUACUGAAAAAUGGUCUCAUAUUUUCACCUGGGAAAACCUUCUAUUUAGCAUUUAUAGCUCUCUACUGAAGGGAAGGAGUACCAGUAAUUCAUACUGCCAGUCUAUCAAAAUCCUGAGCUUUCUCUAUAAAUUGAAAAUACCAAGUUUUUUCGCACAGUUUAUAAAUAUAUUAGACUGCCUAUACAUCUUUUAUGAUUUAUCCAUUCACUUCUCACUGGUAUAAAGCUAAAACAAACUGACUUUUAAUUGUAGCCUUGAAACUCAGAAAUGAAAAGUAUAAAAAUAGGUGGAACUAAUCAUCUAUUGCAGAAAACUGAGGGCAGUUCUAAAGUUCAAGAAGUUUUUUUAAAAAAUAAAAUGAAUGUAGUCUUUAUGAGAAAUGUCAAUUUUAUUCUGGGCAACUGCAGUCAAAACAUGAGGGUUUUAGCUGGAGCAGUUAAGAACCAUAUGCUCAGAAAACUAAAAGAAGGAAAUAAUAGUUUUGGAAAAAGGUUAACAUCUUGACAUUAAAUUAUGGACUUUAAUAAAAAUUAUGAUAUGUUUUUAUAUGAUCAGGUAUAACUGACUGCUAUGGCAGGUAAUAAAACAGAAAUGAAAAGACUCAUUUCAUCUGUCAGUCUCUGGUUGCAGUAGAGCUCUGCAGGAAACCUAAAUGUGUGGGUCUUUGAACUGACCUAAAUAGCUGUGCGAAAUAAACCUGCUUUGCUUUCAAGCCUCAGUGCUGGAGAUAAAAGUAUCAUAUUCACUCUGGCUUGUUUUGUUCAAUAGUAUAGAAAACUUUAGUCCCAGUUUCAAACAAUAGCUCCUGCCUUUUAUAACCUGUUCUGCAGGUUUUUAAUUGAAUAUUUUUUAUUCAUGAAACUAAUUACACAUAUGUAUGCUUCUAUAAUUGCAGUGUGGUCCUUAAACUGUAUAAAUCAAAUUUGUCUUUAUGGGAUGCAGCUUUAUUAGAUUACUAUUACUUUGGAAUGAAUUUAUUAUUAUUAUAAUUAUUUAGAAAAAUAAUACUGCGUUUGUGUAAUCAAUAACCGUAAUUUUAUAGAUUUUAAGCCUUUAAAAGAAAUAGCAAAUCAUUAACUGUAAAUAGGACAAACUUUUUCAAUGAGUGCCUUUCUUCUAGGCAUCUAAAGCUGCUUAGAACAGUCUAAUGGCUUUUUUUUUUUUUUCCCUGCAAUGUGACUAAAUAGAUAAAGUCAGUGGGAGAUAAGUACCUAACUUGUUAAAGAUCUUUCAAAAUCUCAAUUGGUGUUCAUCAAAAUCAUUAGAUGUUGAAAUCCCUUAGGGGAAUCUGGAUCUAAUUCUCUCUACAGCCAUUUAUAUGUGGCUGAUGUGAUGUAUACAGAAAGUGUCAGUGCAGUUUCUGCAUAAAGUUGUUAUUUUCAUAACCAUGCACAGCAAAUGCUAUGCCUUUCAAAUCUCCUGCAAUAUUAGCAUGGUCCCUCAACUGUCUUACUGCUAUUAAAUGGGUAAAGAUGCUCAUACUAUCAAAGUUCAUUUCCACACUGACAAGGAAAUGACUGUACUGAUAUUGGGCAUAUGCAUAAUGGUGCAACUUCACUCAAAAAUGGGAUAUCCAUAACCCAAAAAUUUAAAAACUACAUAACAAUCUUAUACACCAAUCCUAUCAGUUCUUACAUUUAAAAACUAUCUGUACUUCACUAUAAAGUACCAUUAAAUCCACCUGUGAUUUUAGGCUCAAUGUCAGGUAUGUAAGUCAGCCAGAACUUCACCCCUCACACCUAAGGCUGAAAACUUGUCUUAAACUGACAUGCCUUUAUUUAUGUACUUUGGGAUUCACUUGUUCAAAGAAAGAGGUUACAGUAGUCAAAGCUUCACACAGAAACCUUCAGAUUUUUUAUAGCACUGCUACGCUGAUGUGACAGAAUACUGCAUGAUGAUAGAAGAUAAAAGCUAAAUGGUGUUCUGAUUAAUACAAAUACAUUAUUUUCACAUACCUUUCCAAAACAUUCAGAAAAUCAUUAAAUACAUUUUACUUUUCCAGAGAGAUUAAAAAAAUUAGCUCUCAGGUGAUUUUUUCUGAUUAUUUUUACUAUAUAAAUGAAAUUACAAAAAGGACAAUUGUCCAUUUAAGAAUAUUUCUUACCGUGCAUUCCACUGAACAAGUUAGCUAUUUAUCAAAGAAAAGCCAUAGGUCUUUGUUAAUAGAACUUUAGAAAAUAUGAAUGCAAAACAUUCUUUUUUCCUUGCAUAUUACAUAAAAUAAACCUUAAACAGAAAACAUAUUCCUUUCCUAUUCAUUCCAGAUUUGUGAAUCAAAUUCUGUUUGGUAGUUUUAUUACAUCUCAAUAUCAUGAAGAAUUCCACAAAAAGAGAGGAAAAAAAAAGUGGUCCUUUUUUACUUUAUGUAUAUAUUUGUGACUUGCUGAAUCAAGCUUGCCAAUCUAGCUGCCUAAUAUUACCUUAUCAGAUGCAGUAAAUAUGUUAAGAGCAUUAAUACUGACAUUCUUGCAAUGCAAAUUAUGCAUCAGAUAUAAAUACAUGAUAUCACAUGCUUACAAUAGCGAUUAAUUUGGAAAUUGCAAAAUAUCUUCAUACAGAAAUAAUAUCCACAAAUUUUCAGUUUUUUCUUUGAAUGAUACUAUCAUUACCUUCUAAUGAAAACUCCAAGUAAAAAGUUCUUUGCAGCAUUGUUCUCAUCUUGUAACUGGAUUUGAUUUGCUUAAGAUUUUAACAUAUUCAUUCUUCUGCUGGCUACCAAAAUUGAUGUUAAGAACAAAACUCUAGAAAAGAUAAAGAGGAAAGUAAAGAAGAGUGAUGUCAGUUGAAUUUUCUUUUACAAAUACACCUAGAUACAAAAGGAGCUACGUGAAUGAUCUCCAAAUGAAAAAAUAUCUAGUUGUCUAUUACAAAAUAUCAGAAACCAAAUACUGCAUUCUGUUCUUAGCUGCAAUGCUUUGAAAAUAUAUCAAAAAUGAAACACUGCAGCACACAUUGGCCAGAGGUGUGACAUCACUGGAGAUUAUGUAUUUUGCAACUCUGAUGGCUGCAUUGAGAGCAGACUGGAGAACAGAAAUUACAGACGUCUACGUACACAUUCUGAGGAAAACUUCCAACACUAUUCACUGACAGUUAAUAAGAUCAUAACUGAGUUUAUCAUAUGGGUCUAUUUUCCCUGUUAUACAAAUAUCUAAAGAUUAUCUGUCUGUGUAGUUAGUCUUUCUGAUGAUAUGAUGCAUAAUUUUUGAUUAUUUGAUUGUUCAUCUCUUUCAGUAAAACAGAAAUAAUUUGAGUUUUGCAGGUUGGAAAGGUAAUCCCCCCCCAAAAAAAAGAUACAUUUUAAGCCUCUUUACAAGCUGUAGAAUGAUAAAUAAUUUUUAUGACGGGAGCUAUUGCCAUUUCUCAAAGGCUGCAUGAGAAAUAGUUUUUAAAAAUAAAAAUGUAAGUGCUGGGAAAACAAUUGAAAUGCUCUGAGUCCUUUACGAUCAUACUGACUACAUUCAGGUGAUAAUCAACAUCCAAGAAUUAGCAGAGAAAGAGUAAAGCAAGUCUUUCUUAUGCCUUGCUACUGUUUGCAUUACUGUCUGAAUCAAGAGGAAGAUGAUCAUAAGUUACAACUACACAUUUCACUGGCAAAUACCAUUUAAGUAUUUAAAAGAUCUUAAUUUUGCUGAUGAUGUUAAUCAGCAACAGAAAUACAUGUGGUUGGUGUUUUUUGCCUUUUUUUUCCAAUAAGGGUGUAAGAAAUGUAUGCCUGUAUACAUCACAGAUAUUGUUUGAAAUAUCAAGUUUUUUUUGCUUACCUAGAAAGUCAUAGGUGCAGUAAUGAUGACACCAGGCAUACAAUAGCCCAUAACAAAAUACUUCAUAAACUUGAAAUAUUUUGGCCACAGUAGCACGACCAGAACUAACACAAAAAUAAUUUCCAAUAUCUCCUCUCCUUCUCUAGAGAUGUUCCUAGAACUUAUCCUGGAAUGCAUUGUUCUUAUGAGGGAAGUCUUUAAAAUACAUUCUAAAGAACGCACUGUGUCUUCCGGAAGUCUUCUGGAGAGCAGAUAAACUGAAGACAUCCAUCAGAUGUGAAACACAAAUAGUUACACUCCAACUUCCACAACAGAUUCAAUCUAAAAAAGAGAAGAGAGACUUCCUAAAGUCACAGGAAUCGCAAGGAAAAUGCCUUUAUCAUCACAACAAGGCUCAAAAGUCUAAGCAAGCUAAUCCAAGCCCAAAAUAUGUCGUAAUCUGUGGUAAAUAAUCUUGAAUAAGUACAAGAUAAAGACAGACAUAUUGAAAGCACUGUAUGCAUUUUUGUUACCAAUAGGAAAAGAAUGUAAUUUCAACAUGGGUUACACUUUUACUUCUGAAUGUUAUUCUCCCCCAUAUCGUGAACAAGAAUGGAGAUUAAAAAAUAGAAGUCACUCACAAUAUCAUAAAUAAAGUGUGAUAGUUUGUUAAUUUGUGUGUAGUAUAAGUGAAUGCAUGUAAAAAGAACUAGAGAUUAAAAUUCAUCCUUUUGCAGUGUGAAACUGGUGGCAGACUUUGAAAACAAUUUACUUCAGUAAUAAAUAACAAACCAGACAUUACCAUGGCAACAAUAAUAUUGGAGAUGCAGUACUUUAUGAAAUUGUUGGGUUAAAUGAACUUUUGUAAAACUCACUUGGUUUGAAAGUUUUCUCAUUACUUAAUUUUCUCUAAAAAACUUUAAAACAAGUGAAAAUGUGAAUACAGCUACUUUUUUAUACAGGUAAGGCUACAAGCUUCUUAAGGUGUAUGCCUAUAAAUCCAAAUUCUAACACUCACCUCAUUAUUUGUAUUGAUGAGGCAGAAUUCAGCUGGAUGUGGCAGUAGUCCCAGAGGACUUUAUUUCCAGACCACUGGCUAUAAAAACUAGCAGUACUCACAAAGUAGUGGAAUUUAACCACCCUGAUCUGACACAAAACAUUGGCUCAGGAUGGUCCUUGAUAUACUCCAAACUUGUAAGAGGUCUGAAAUGUACAGCAACAGGAAGACUGAAGGCCAUUCUGACCUAUCACCCUUGGUAAGAGCAGUCCUGUAGUUUCAAAACACUACCACCAUCCUUGCCACUAGAGUUAUAGCCAGAGUAACAUCUUUGACUUGGUCUUCUCUGUGUCUCAGCCUGACUGUUAUUCUUCUGGUUCACAUUUCUAGUUACAUCACUGCAUCUGAGCUGACUCCCUAGAAACUACAGAUAGAUGGAGCUAGAUAGUGUACCUGGGCAUCUCAAUUGGCACUCACUGUCUAAGUUUUAGCAAUGAAGUCUCAUGCCUGUUUUGCAGAAAUGGGCAAACACCAUUUUGACCAUUAUCACUUCACUGGUUUUGUUUUCAAUUUUGUUAAUUUACUGAUUCAUACCUCUUGGGUUACCCAACUUACCUUCCUAUGUCUUAACUGCUCUGUGGAUGUCACUUGCUGUAGCAGCACUGGUCUACAAGCACAUAGAAUUUGCUUGAUUCAGGUACCAUCAUGUAGCCUCUUUCAGUAGAGAAGGGUAUGCUUCUCAAGACAAUGAAUCCAGUAUCAUGGUCCCAGUGUCUUGUUUGCAUACAAACUUAACUAGACUGUGGGCCUAGAUGCAUGAUUGGACUUCAGUGAUUUGUUACCUUAUAUAUAAACUAUAAAAGGAAUUCACAACUUAAAGAAUUUAAUAGAAUGGAUAACAUGCAAUAAACAGCCACUCAUAAAGAAUCAGUGGAUUCUUGAUACUAGGAUUCUAUCUACAUCCAAUCUAAAUUGUCAAGAGAAUUGUAACUGGCAUCUAAAUGACAGAGAUACAGUUCUGAGAAUUAUGAGAGUGAACAAAAUAAAAGGAGAAAAAGCACAGUUUAAAAAAAGAACGUGCAUAAUCCUGGUAACAGAAUUAGGUUUUUGGCGAGAAGUCAGUAGGCUGAAUUUAAAUGUUAAUUUUGAUCUGUAGAGCAGAAUGUGCUUGAUAAUAAAGGUUAGAUUUUAUUUUAUUUUUUUAGUAAGUAUCCUAUCACACAGUGAGAUUUAUAUCCUAAUUAGUUUAUAACCCUGUAGCUAGUCCAUCUUACAAACAAUUAGCUGAGAGAUUUUCUUAGUCUAGUGUUUCAUAUGAGUGCAAUAAUUUCUGUUUUCUUCCUCCUGUCCUCUUCAUUGCUUUCCCCUCUUGUUAAUAGCCUUGGGAAAAAAAAAGAAAAAAGAAAAAAGAAAAAAAACCACAGGGAUCUCCUGGAAAGAGUCCAGCAUAGGGCCACAAAGAUGAUAAAGGCCAUAGAGCACCUCUCUUAUGAGGAAAGGAUGAAUCACCUGGGUCUGUUCAGCUCUGAAAAAAGACUGAGAGGGGAUCUUAUUAAUAUUUAUAAAUAUCUUAAGUGUGGGAGUCAAAGCAACAUGACAAACCAGUUUUCAGCGGUCUGUGACGAGGAGAAAUGGCCAUAAACUGGAGUAUAGGAAGUUCUACACCAAUAUGCAAAGGACUUCUUCACACUAAGGGUGAUGGAGAACUGGAACAGGCUGCCCAGGGAGGUUGUAGAUUCUCCUUCUCUGGAGAUAAUCAAGACCUGCCUGGACGCCUACCUGUAUAGGGGACCUAGUCUGCUGUAGGGGGCCUGCUUUGCAGCAGGAUUGGACUUGAUGAUCUCUGGAGGUCCCUUUCAACUCUUGCAAUUCUGUGAUUCCAUGGAAAGCAAAACCUAAAGGGUAAAAACAACCCAAGCUGUAGAUGAUAUUAAAGAAUACAACUUAUAACAUCGUAGCUUUUUCCUAUGAAACAAGUUAGGACCAUUAUUUCUCAGAUUACAACAUCUCUGAUUGAUGUAUGUAUAAGAACAUUUUGUGCAGAUAACAGUAUAAAGUUUAUACAGCUAAUAGUGGAAAAAUCGGAUUCAAUACUUUGUGUCUGAGACGUGAAGAAUAGCUUCAUAUUCUUUAAGUUCCAUUCUUUGAGCUAAAUUAAUCACUUCUACUGUUCUGUCAUCAAUUGUCCACUGAUAUUUGAAAAUCACAGAGCCUACAUUUUAAAGCUAUUGUACUGUACAUGUUGUACAACAGCUGUUAGACAUCAUUUAAAGAGGAAAACAUUUCUGCAAACACAUAUAAGACAUCAGGAAAUAAACUUACAGAAGCAAUUCCUUUAGGCUAAAACCUGACAUAAGGAAAUAAACUAAUGCACACUAAAAUAGAUUUAAUAAGCAUUUCAAUCGGAACAUAUAUAGCCUUCUUUCUUAAGAUGAGAGCAAGAAUACUGAUCUUGGUAGAAUAAGCCAAGUAAGAAGACAAAUGCUUUGACCAUAGCAGAUUCAAAUGAGGAUAUACAGUAUAUUGGUUGCGUGCCAAUUGCUGAUGUUCUAAACAAAGUCUAAGUACAAAGCAUUCAUAACCUUUCACAGUCAAGUUAGCAAUUUAAUUUGUGUUCAAAACUGACUUUGGCAUCAUCAGGAAUACACACUCACAAAUCAAGUGUUUUAAAAAUGGAUUGUUCUGAUAAAGAGAAAAAAAAUGAGUUUAUAAAAGGGAAUUAACAAAAUCAUGAAAGUAUAUUUAAAACUACUGAUAAUUAUUUAAAUACAUUUCAGGGCAGAGAUAACAGCAAAACUUGGCCAUGCUUGCUGAUUCAAGGAAUAAAAUGAAGUACAUUUUCUGUAAUUACAUUUUCUUAGAAUCAUAGAAUCGUUAAGGUUGGAAAAGACCCACAGGUUCAUCCAGUCCAACCAUUCGCCCUUCACCAAUGGUUCUCGCUAAACCAUGUCCCUCAACACAACAUCCAAACGCUCUUUGAACACCACCAGGCUCGGUGACUCCACCACCUCCCUGGGCAGCCCAUUCCAGUGCCUGACCACCCUUUCAGAGAAGUAGUUCUUCCUAACGUCCAGCCUGAAUCUUCCCUGGCGCAGCUUGAAGCCAUUCCCUCUAGUCCUAUCACUAGUCACACGAGAGAAGAGGCUGACCCCCAGCUCACUACAACCUCCCUUCAGGUAGUUACAGAGAGCAAUAAGGUCUCCCCUGAGCCUCCUCUUCUCUGGACUGAACAAUCCCA
RNAcentral lists this long non-coding RNA (18003 nucleotides) under Gallus gallus (chicken). The record is from RNAcentral. Lineage: Eukaryota; Metazoa; Chordata; Aves; Galliformes; Phasianidae.